GGGAAUGAGGCUUAGUGGUAGAGUGCUUGCCUAGUAUGCAUGAAGCCGUGAAUUUGAUUCCUCAGUACCA
RNAcentral lists this transfer RNA (70 nucleotides) under Dipodomys ordii (Ord's kangaroo rat). It matches the Rfam family "tRNA". Rfam says of the family: Transfer RNA (tRNA) molecules are approximately 80 nucleotides in length. Their secondary structure includes four short double-helical elements and three loops (D, anti-codon, and T loops). The record is from Rfam by way of RNAcentral. Lineage: Eukaryota; Metazoa; Chordata; Mammalia; Rodentia; Heteromyidae.